CAUGCAAGUCGAGCGGACAGAUGGGAGCUUGCUCCCUGAUGUUAGCGGCGGACGGGUGAGUAACACGUGGGUAACCUGCCUGUAAGACUGGGAUAACUCCGGGAAACCGGGGCUAAUACCGGAUGGUUGUUUGAACCGCAUGGUUCAAACAUAAAAGGUGGCUUCGGCUACCACUUACAGAUGGACCCGCGGCGCAUUAGCUAGUUGGUGAGGUAACGGCUCACCAAGGCGACGAUGCGUAGCCGACCUGAGAGGGUGAUCGGCCACACUGGGACUGAGACACGGCCCAGACUCCUACGGGAGGCAGCAGUAGGGAAUCUUCCGCAAUGGACGAAAGUCUGACGGAGCAACGCCGCGUGAGUGAUGAAGGUUUUCGGAUCGUAAAGCUCUGUUGUUAGGGAAGAACAAGUACCGUUCGAAUAGGGCGGUACCUUGACGGUACCUAACCAGAAAGCCACGGCUAACUACGUGCCAGCAGCCGCGGUAAUACGUAGGUGGCAAGCGUUGUCCGGAAUUAUUGGGCGUAAAGGGCUCGCAGGCGGUUUCUUAAGUCUGAUGUGAAAGCCCCCGGCUCAACCGGGGAGGGUCAUUGGAAACUGGGGAACUUGAGUGCAGAAGAGGAGAGUGGAAUUCCACGUGUAGCGGUGAAAUGCGUAGAGAUGUGGAGGAACACCAGUGGCGAAGGCGACUCUCUGGUCUGUAACUGACGCUGAGGAGCGAAAGCGUGGGGAGCGAACAGGAUUAGAUACCCUGGUAGUCCACGCCGUAAACGAUGAGUGCUAAGUGUUAGGGGGUUUCCGCCCCUUAGUGCUGCAGCUAACGCAUUAAGCACUCCGCCUGGGGAGUACGGUCGCAAGACUGAAACUCAAAGGAAUUGACGGGGGCCCGCACAAGCGGUGGAGCAUGUGCGUUUAAUUCGAAGCAACGCGAAGAACCUUACCAGGUCUUGACAUCCUCUGACAAUCCUAGAGAUAGGACGUCCCCUUCGGGGGCAGAGUGACAGGUGGUGCAUGGUUGUCGUCAGCUCGUGUCGUGAGAUGUUGGGUUAAGUCCCGCAACGAGCGCAACCCUUGAUCUUAGUUGCCAGCAUUCAGUUGGGCACUCUAAGGUGACUGCCGGUGACAAACCGGAGGAAGGUGGGGAUGACGUCAAAUCAUCAUGCCCCUUAUGACCUGGGCUACACACGUGCUACAAUGGACAGAACAAAGGGCAGCGAAACCGCGAGGUUAAGCCAAUCCCACAAAUCUGUUCUCAGUUCGGAUCGCAGUCUGCAACUCGACUGCGUGAAGCUGGAAUCGCUAGUAAUCGCGGAUCAGCAUGCCGCGGUGAAUACGUUCCCGGGCCUUGUACACACCGCCCGUCACACCACGAGAGUUUGUAACACCCGAAGUCGGUGAGGUAACCUUUUAGGAGCCAGCCGCCGAAG
Molecule: ribosomal RNA, 1426 nt
Filed under: Bacillus subtilis
Lineage: Bacteria; Bacillati; Bacillota; Bacilli; Caryophanales; Bacillaceae
Description: 16S ribosomal RNA
Rfam family: Bacterial small subunit ribosomal RNA
Source: RNAcentral